AUUGAACGCUGGCGGCAGGCUUAACACAUGCAAGUCGAGCGGGGUGAUGGUGCUUGCACUAUCACUUAGCGGCGGACGGGUGAGUAAUGCUUAGGAAUCUGCCUAUUAGUGGGGGACAACAUCUCGAAAGGGAUGCUAAUACCGCAUACGUCCUACGGGAGAAAGCAGGGGAUCACUUGUGACCUUGCGCUAAUAGAUGAGCCUAAGUCGGAUUAGCUAGUUGGUGGGGUAAAGGCCUACCAAGGCGACGAUCUGUAGCGGGUCGGAGAGAAUGAUCCGGCACACUGGGACUUAGAAACGGCCCAGACUCCUACGGGAGGCAGCAGUGGGGAAUAUUGGACAAUGGGGGGAACCCUGAUCCAGCCAUGCCGCGUGUGUGAAGAAGGCCUUAUGGUUGUAAAGCACUUUAAGCGAGGAGGAGGCUCUUUUGGUUAAUACCCAAGAUGAGUGGACGUUACUCGCAGAAUAAGCACCGGCUAACUCUGUGCCAGCCGCCGCCGUAA
This 503-nucleotide ribosomal RNA is filed under the name uncultured bacterium. Its description in RNAcentral is "partial 16S ribosomal RNA". It matches the Rfam family "Bacterial small subunit ribosomal RNA", at positions 30 to 523 of the family's 1533-position model. The record is from RNAcentral.